Molecule: unclassified non-coding RNA, 224 nt
Filed under: uncultured fungus
Lineage: Eukaryota; Fungi
Description: sequence contains ITS1, 5.8S rRNA gene
Rfam family: 5.8S ribosomal RNA (bases 176-224)
Source: RNAcentral
UCUCCGUAGGUGAACCUGCGGAGGGAUCAUUACCGAGAACGAAUUCCUUGCGGAUUCGAACUCCCACCCUUUGUUUUCCGACAACGUUGCCUCGGGGCGGCCACCAUGUGUGGUGCCCCGGCGGACAAGCCAACUCUGCAUCUUUGCGUCAGAGUCUCAAUGUAAAUUGAACUAAAACUUUCAACAACGGAUCUCUUGGUUCUGGCAUCGAUGAAGAACGCAGC